This 486-nucleotide ribosomal RNA is filed under the name Otostigmus spinosus. Its description in RNAcentral is "partial large subunit ribosomal RNA". It matches the Rfam family "Bacterial large subunit ribosomal RNA", at positions 1830 to 2606 of the family's 2925-position model. Lineage: Eukaryota; Metazoa; Arthropoda; Chilopoda; Scolopendromorpha; Scolopendridae. The record is from RNAcentral.
GUCUUAUUGUAUUUAAUAAUAAGUCUGGCCUGCCCUAUGUAUUUAUAAAUGGCCGCGGUAUUUUGACCGUGCGAAGGUAGCAUAAUGAAUAGUCCAUUAAUUGUGGUCUGGAAUGAAAGGUUUCACGGAGAAUAACUUUUUUUAUUUUAUUGAUGAAUUUGAAUUAUUAGUUAAAAUGCUAAUAUGAUUUAGGAGGACGAGAAGACCCUAUAGAGCUUUACAUAUUAAUUUUUUGUAGUAUAAUUUAAUAUAUGUUUUGUUGGGGCGACAAUAAAUAUAAACAUUUAUUAUUAAGUCUAAUAUUGUAGGUUAAAUGAUCCAUUAUUAAUGAUUUUAGACUAAGUUACCUUAGGGAUAACAGCGUAAUUUUAUUUUAGAGUUCUUAUCGAUAAUAAAGAUUGCGACCUCGAUGUUGGAUUAUAAUUCCUGUAAGGCGCAGUAGUCUUAUAAGGUAGUCUGUUCGACUAUUAAAAUUUUACAUGAUCU